This 253-nucleotide ribosomal RNA is filed under the name uncultured bacterium. RNAcentral describes it as "partial 16S ribosomal RNA". It matches the Rfam family "Bacterial small subunit ribosomal RNA", at positions 524 to 776 of the family's 1533-position model. The record is from RNAcentral.
UACGUAGGGGGCAAGCGUUGUCCGGAUUUAUUGGGCGUAAAGGGCGUGUAGGCGGCUUGGUAGGUCCGCUGUGAAAACUCGAGGCUCAACCUCGAGAUGUCGGCGGAAACCACUUGGCUAGAGUCCGGAAGAGGAGAGUGGAAUUCCCGGUGUAGCGGUGAAAUGCGCAGAUAUCGGGAAGAACACCUAUGGCGAAGGCAGCUCUCUGGGACGGUACUAACGCUGAGACGCGAAAGUGUGGGGAGCAAACGGG